GAUAGAUAGCUCAACGGUAGAGCAGCGACUUAGAUUCGUGGGUUGCGGGUUCAAAUCCCGCUCUAAUCACCA
RNAcentral lists this transfer RNA (72 nucleotides) under Pseudoalteromonas luteoviolacea. RNAcentral's name for it is "tRNA-Leu". It matches the Rfam family "tRNA". From Rfam's summary of the family: Transfer RNA (tRNA) molecules are approximately 80 nucleotides in length. Their secondary structure includes four short double-helical elements and three loops (D, anti-codon, and T loops). The record is from RNAcentral. Lineage: Bacteria; Pseudomonadati; Pseudomonadota; Gammaproteobacteria; Alteromonadales; Pseudoalteromonadaceae. RNAcentral also lists the same sequence under 2 other names.